RNAcentral lists this unclassified non-coding RNA (376 nucleotides) under uncultured Gammaproteobacteria bacterium. RNAcentral's name for it is "contains 16S-23S intergenic spacer region". The record is from RNAcentral. Lineage: Bacteria; Pseudomonadati; Pseudomonadota; Gammaproteobacteria.
UCCGGUUUGUCACCGGCAGUCUGCCUAGAGUCCCCAACUAAAUGAUGGCAACUAGGCACAGGGGUUGCGCUCGUUACGGGACUUAACCCAACAUCUCACGACACGAGCUGACGACAGCCAUGCAGCACCUGUCUCUCAGUUCCCGAAGGCACCCCCGCGUCUCCGCGGGGUCCUGAGGAUGUCAAGGGUAGGUAAGGUUUUUCGCGUUGCAUCGAAUUAAACCACAUGCUCCACCGCUUGUGCGGGCCCCCGUCAAUUUCUUUGAGUUUUAGCCUUGCGGCCGUAUUCCCCAGGCGGAGUACUUAAUGCGUUUGCUCCGCCACUGAGGGGCAGUGCCCCCCAACAGCUAGUACUCAUCGUUUACAGCGUGGACUAC